CCGCCGCUAGCUGCCGCGCGUGGCGAGGGCGGAGGCGGCCACGCACAUCAGGGAGGCCCCACGCGGAACUUACCUGAGGAGAAAGACCCUGCGCCGGGCCGGGAAAGGAGGAGGGCAGGCCUAGAUGAGGUGUCUGCCGCAGAAUUCAGAACUUAGGGCCCCACCCUGGAGACAGAUGUCACUGCUGCCCCAGGGCCCCCGUCUCCGCGUCUGGGAGUGGCGCACCCCAGUGUAGCUGCGUUCAACUUCGGCAACAGAGCUAUUCUGACCCAACACGGCGCAGCGCUUCUCCCCACGCCAGUCUCCCAGCUCCAGCGCGACUCCAUCCCCACCGCGGGCUUCCUGCUGCCCAGUGGUGUAGGCGGGCAGGUGCUGACCACAGUGCUGAAGCUGUUGGAUGUGGUCACGCGCCCCACCGUGUCUGGCCGUCUUUAAAAUGUUGGGUGCCACUUUGGAUCCUGCUGGCCACAGGAAAAGGAAUGGCAUGUCCCAAAUACGGUGUCUUCGUUCUGGAUGUGGACUAAGGAAGGCGUGUGCUAAUUACACACUGAGGACAUCAUGACACUCAUACUGAGUAACCCCAACAUUGUGAUGACUGGUAAGUAUCACAUUUUCUCAAAAUUCAUCAAUGAAUCCAAAACAUUUAGUGGGACAUACAAUAUCAUACAAUAUUAUUCAAGAUGUUUCUAAUACUCUUUACAGUAUUUAAUUACUGGAAGACAGUAAUCCCAUAGAGGAAGAAAAAUGCAUGCUAACCAUAAGACUGUCAAAAUUAUGAGUCCCGAUACCUGUGACCAGUUAACCAGUGGAUGCUGCAUGCCUGAGAUUCUUCCUGUGAGGCCUGAAUGAACCAUGGGCUUUGGAGAAGGAGCGGAGUAGCGGGAUGAAGCCAGUUCCCAUCAUAUCCCAUUCUUCUUUCGUUAGGCCCUAAUGAUAAGACCACCAGAGUUGCUAAGCUCUUCCUCAUGUAUCACUAAUCUUGCUUCUAAAUUCUACAUGAUUAAUGCAGAAAUUUUUGGAAUAAGGUGAUGAAGUGUGAAACAGCUUCGUUUCUAAUCUACAUUUUUACAUUACAAAAUAUUGCAAAUUUCCUUUCAAACCCAGCCUAAACUCACUCAUGUGAACUCCUAGAGCAAUCUCUAGUAACUUUGUCACAACUCUCACUAUGCUUUAUCAUGAAUUACUUAUUUGUUCAUCUCUCUUGCUAUUAUAUAAGCUUUUAGAGGCUAAAAUCUUCCACAUCUUGUAUAUAUUUUUUACCUCUAGAAGUCUCUAAUAAGCAUUCCUUAAAUAUUGAUUGAAUAAAUAAGGAAUCUAAAUAUUACUUAUAAACUAUCAAGCAAAUCUGAGCAUUUUAUAACCCAAAAAGUUUAUAAGAUCGUGUACUGCGUUCUACACAUCAUAUUUUAAAUCAAGUAUAUAAAAGUUUGUUUUAUCCCAGAUUAUAAUUUGUCAUGUAAGUGACGAUUAGUAAUUUGAGGUGCCAAACUGAGUGUCCUGUUUAGACCACUUGCCUAGCUGUCAAUUUCACUAUGCUCGAGCAAGUGAAAGACAUUUUGUUUAAGAUAUAAAAUAAAAUAACACAUCCUCAUGUGAUUUUAUGAGGAGGUGAUCAUGUAUGUUACAAAUGCUCUCUUAAUAUAAACUAGCAGUCCCUACAAUGAAUAUACAAAUAAUUACAGCUAUUCUGAAUUUGAAGAAAAAGUCAUUUAAACAUUAAGCUGAAAUCAGCCACAGUAAGAGUGGAGUGAUCAGCCAUUCUAAUGUUAAAGAAGAAAUCAGAAAGAAAAGUAAUUCAGGAAUGUGCUCCACACACAGAGAGAAAAAUAAUGCCUGAAAAAUCAAAGGGAUGAUUUUGAACAGUUACAGUGAAGACCAUUGAUUCAUUCUUUUUGAUGUAUGUAUAAAUCUUAUCUAUCAAUUAUUCCUAUUUCCCUAAUUGUGUGCCAAACUUUGUGUAAGGUAUAGAAAUUUAAACAAUGAAAAAGAUUAUCUUGUCUUUUGCAAGAACAAUAAGAAAUGUACUUUUUGCUUAAGAUUGCUUUUUCUCUAGUUCCAUACAAAGCAUAGAACUAUUUUUUUCUAGAUCUGUGAAAAAAUGAUGUUGGUGUUUUAAUAGGGAUUGCACUGAAUCUGUAGGUCAUGUUGGGUAGUACGGACAUUUUAACAAUGUUGAUUCUGCUGACCCAUGAACAUGGUAUGGUUUUCCACCUGUUUACAUUCUUUGCUAUUUCCUUCCUCAGUGUUUCAUAGUUCUCCCUGUAGAGGUCUUUUACCUCCUUCCUUAAAUAUAUUCCUAGGUAUUUAUUUUCUUUGUUGCUUUUGUGAAGAGUAUUGAGUCUUUGAUUUGGUUCUCAGUUUGACUGCUGUUGGCAUAUAGGAAUGCUACUGAUUUGUGUACAUUGAUUUUGUAACCUGAGACUUUGAUGAAUUUGUUCACCAAUUCCAGUAGUCUCGUGAGAGAAUCUUUUUUUCUUCUGGAAUUCUUACAGUUUCAGGUCUUAGGUUUAAGUCUGUUAUCCACUGUGAGUUAAUUUUUGUGAUAGGUGAAAGGUGUGGAUCCUGAUUCAGUCUUCUACAUGUGGCUAUCCAGUUUUCCCAGCACCAUUUAUUGAAUAAAGAUUCUUUUACCCAGUGUAUGUUUUUGUCUGCUUUGUUAAAAAUUAGAUAGCUAUAUGAGGAUGGUUUUAUAUCUGGUUUCUCAGUUCUGUUCCAUUGGUCUAUGUCUCUGUUAUUGUGCCAAUACCAUACUAUUUUAAUUACUUUACACAAAGGCAAUCACAGCAACAAGAACAAAAAAUAAAUAAAUGGGAUGUGAUCAAAUUAAAAAGCUUUUGCACAGCC
Long non-coding RNA from Microcebus murinus (gray mouse lemur), 2844 nucleotides. The record is from Ensembl. NCBI's taxonomy places the organism in Eukaryota, Metazoa, Chordata, Mammalia, Primates, Cheirogaleidae.